Molecule: non-coding RNA, 25 nt
Filed under: Rattus norvegicus (Norway rat)
Lineage: Eukaryota; Metazoa; Chordata; Mammalia; Rodentia; Muridae
Source: RNAcentral
UGCCUGUCAACCACUGGUCCUCAGC